AUUCCAUCGAGCUUUCGUCAAUCAACCAUAUGCGUGCAACACACCAUAUGGUUUAAAAUUCAACGAAAAGUCACUUGUGUAGUUUUUCAUUCGCAAUUUCUCACAUAUCGCACAAACUUAUUGAGUACCUAGAUUGCUUUAACUUGUCGUAAUUUCAGGACUAGUCUGUGCAGAAUAAGUACCACCUACGCUGAAUAGUAAGACUUCAAACAUGGACAAAGAUAAUUUCUUUGGGUUACUUUGUAUCAUUAGUUUCGUCUCCUUUGCAGCCUGCGGUAAAUCUCAAUCCCAAAUGACUGGUGAGUUACUUAGGUACCAAACUACUCCUGAGUGAAAAUGAUGACUAUAUCAUUAUUAUACCUAUACCUCUAUGCACCUAAUUCAAUAUUCAAGAAUAUUCAGCGAUUCUUACGCAUCAACUGAAAAUUAUGACGAAUUUUCAAGACGCCAUGGAUAUAAGAUGGAAGUUGAACGAGGAAUUCCAAAACAUGGGGAUCAGGCGACGCGGUAGCGUUGCCACCCCGCCCUCCCACGGUUCCAAACGCGCACGGAGUUAUAUUCUGUAACUAUUUCCUAAUGCAAUUUCCCCGAGUUUCAAACGCAAUUUUCUCAAAAACUAUGCGUUUAUUCAAAAAACGCAUAGAUACUUUUUUUCUUAUUUUUCAAAGACCUUUCAGAAUAUAUUAUAAGAAUAAUUUUUGUACAAUAAAAAUUCGCAAAGUUUCAAGUUA
Planococcus citri (citrus mealybug) is the source of this 731-nucleotide long non-coding RNA. RefSeq lists it as uncharacterized. The record is from RefSeq and is a predicted model, not a curated record. The transcript is spliced from 2 exons. NCBI's taxonomy places the organism in Eukaryota, Metazoa, Arthropoda, Insecta, Hemiptera, Pseudococcidae.